RNAcentral lists this ribosomal RNA (1272 nucleotides) under Triticum aestivum (bread wheat). Its description in RNAcentral is "partial small subunit ribosomal RNA". Lineage: Eukaryota; Viridiplantae; Streptophyta; Magnoliopsida; Poales; Poaceae. The record is from RNAcentral.
AUGCGGCUCCAUAAUUCACGUAGUAGAUCUCCAGUGGACGGCGGGGACGGCAACGUCGUGAAUCUCGAACGAGCGCGCACAGGUAUCGCAUCCCGCGUCCCCCCUCUAGUCUCGCUCGCGGCAACAUCGAACAAACUGCCGCCAUCAGUGGUAGUGGUUAACCUAGCGGGGCGGGAAAUGGUAGACGAGGAGUUAACUGAUAUCAUGAUGGAUGAGCUUGAUGAUGGCCAAGAAAACAACUCGGAGCUCUCGGAUGAAGAUUACAUUAGUCAGCUCAUUUCCGAAUGUCAUAAUGCGUAUGACUAUUACGGUGAAUCCGACGCGGAGACAUGCCUUAACGACGAAUCAUUAGAUGCACCUGAUUCUGGGAAGUCGCAGUCGUCGGUCAUCAUGAGUGAGAUGACACAAGAUGAUGGGGCACAAAAUGUCCAAGAUACUGCCAGUGUAGAUGAUAAGAGGGAUAUGUUCAUGCAGAUAAUGGAAAUGACUUUUAUGUCUCGCGAUGCUGUGUAUGAUUUCUACAACAACUAUGCUAGAGAUAAUGGUUUCAGCAUUAGAAAGAAUAAGGUCAGGUAUAGCAAAACCGAGUCACAUCAUAUGCAUUAUAUGCGGUUUGUUUGUUCCAAACAAGGGAAACAUGACAACAAGUUGCUAACCGAGGAAGGACACACCCGUAGGCUCAGAGCGGAGACACGAUGCUUUUGCAAAGCACAGCUGACCGUCAAGCUUGACCAAAAGCGUGGGGUUUGGUAUGUUGAAAGUUAUGAGGACAAACAUAGCCAUAUGUUGGCAGGACCGGAUGAGGUACCUUUUCUUUGGUCCCACAGAAAAAUCAAAGAGUACCAGAAGGAUGAGAUAAUGUCCAUGGGAGCUGCAGGGAUUAGAAUUCACGACAUGAUGGAUUCCUUCAUCAGCAAACAUCUCAUACCUUUUGUUGGUCUUAACAAUCACCGGAAGACCAUUGUUUUUGGUUGUGCCAUAGUUUCAGACGAGACCGCAGAGACAUACGUGUGGUUGCUGCAGACUUUUUUGAGGUCCAUGCGUCAAAAGAUGCCGAAGAGUGUAAUCAUGGACACCGACGCUGCAAUGAUCAAGGCAAUUCGCGAAGUCUUGCCAGACGUGUGGCACCGUAUAUGUACAUGGCAUAUAGAAAAAAAUAUGAAGAUUCACCUCAGUCACAAGUCCUUGAAGGAGUUCCGAACUCUUCUGUACUACAACACGUCCACAGCCACGUUUGAGGAGAGAUGGCAUGCGUUUUCCAAAAGAUGGUAG